UACGGGGGGAGCAAGCGUUGUUCGGAUUUACUGGGCGUAAAGGGCGCGUAGGCGGUCAGCACAAGUCAGUUGUGAAAUCUCCGGGCUUAACUCGGAAAGGUCAACUGAUACUGUGCGACUAGAGUGCAGAAGGGGCAACUGGAAUUCUCGGUGUAGCGGUGAAAUGCGUAGAUAUCGAGAGGAACACCAGUGGCGAAGGCGAGUCUCUGGACGACUCCUGACACUGAGGCACGAAAGCUGGGGGAGCAAACAGG
RNAcentral lists this ribosomal RNA (254 nucleotides) under uncultured bacterium. RNAcentral's name for it is "partial 16S ribosomal RNA". It matches the Rfam family "Bacterial small subunit ribosomal RNA", at positions 524 to 776 of the family's 1533-position model. The record is from RNAcentral.